CUGCUCUUUUGCCUGGCUACUCUUACUCAGCUAAAAUGUCAUUUCUUCAGUGAAGACUUUCCUGAUGCCCUGUCCUAACAGGGGGUCAAGGUCCCCUGUGUAAUGACACUGUGGGAGCUCCACCCAAUCCCCCUGUGAUCCUUCUGCUGCUCUGAGGAUCCCUCCCUGGCUUCAUGGGCAUCUGCCCUCCACCACCUGUACCUGCACCUCUGCAUCGAAGGACUUCCUGUGGGCCACUAGAGCCACCUUGCCCACAACCAAAGAGCCAGGAAUGUGUGGGUCCGUGUCUCCCAGGGUGGCCUUUUGCCAAGGGCUGACGGGCAUAGGAGUAUGAAAGUCAGGCUCACCAGCCUCAGGUUGGGACAACUCUGAGCCGUAACUUAUACCCCCAAGUCCCCUGUGGGGUCAAGUUGAUGCUGUCUCCGUCAUGAAUUUGCAGGAGGUCUCCCCUUUGCUCAGCCUUCUCCUCAUCCCUCUCCUGCUUCUGCAGUCCAUCAUCUUACUGGUCUCCCCAUGGGCUGCUUUCUUAAUACGUCACUUUCACGUCAAGACUCCGCCCCACCUGAGCUCCCUGUUAUUACUCUCCUAAUGCCGUGGACUCCUCCUUUGUAGUCCUUAUGAGAACUUUAAAUACUGAAUUACUUAUUGCCAGUCUCCUCCAAUAAAACAUACCCUCCCUGAAGGGAAAGAUCGUUAUCUUAUUGGUUGUUGAUUCUCCAGGGCCUACUUCUGGAAGCAUUACCCAGUAGUUUUAUUAGUAGUUAUGGAAAUACUAGUCCUAACUCUCUUGCUAAUAGACAGUAAAUUAUUUGAAGUCAGGACCCAUGUCUGAGAGACUUUAUGUUCUCUGCUUCAUCUACCUCUGGACUUUGCUGAUAAGACAUCAGUCAAUGUUAUUGGAUGAAUAAAUGGUAUUGAAUGCUAACAUUUAUUGAGCACUUUCUCUGUGUCUGGCCAUGUCCUAAGAUCCUCCCCUGUGAUAUCUAAUUGGGUCCUUACAACAGUCCUGUGAUAAAGGAACAAUGACCACUCUCAUUUUAUGGAUUAGCACCGAGGUGUAGAGAGCUUAGGUGCCCGGCCCAAAAACACACAGCCAGUACACGGAGAGCGGGAUCUUGAAUUUGAGUUCUGUCUGAUGCCAAAAGCCCCAAGUCUUGCUAGCUUCCUCAGUUGGAAGGAAUUGACACAUGUCAGAAUUCCUUUGAGGCUGAACCCUAUUCCAUUGUAUGGAGAGACCACAUUUUGCUUAUCCAUUCAUCCGUUAAUGGACACUUGGGUUGCUUCCACUUUUGCGCCAUUGUGAAUGAUGCUGCUAUGAACAUCGGUGCACAAACAUCUCUUUGAGACCCUGUUUUUGGUUCUUUUGGGUGUAUACCCAGAAGUGGAAUUGCUGAAUCAUAUGGUACUUCUAGUUUUCAUUUUUUGAGGAAAUUCGAUACUGUUUUUCACAGCAAUGGCACCAUUUUUCCGCUAACAGUGCACAAAGGUUCCAAUCUCUCCACAUCCUUGCCAACACUUCUUUUCUUUUUCUUUUUUUAUAGUAGCCAUCUCGCCAUCCUAAUGAAUGUGAGGUGACCCAUUUAAUUUUUAAUUUAAAUUUUUGACAAGAUAAUCCAGUCAUGUGGAUGAAAAAAUCAAAGAAAUGACAAAAAGAUCAAUAGUCGAAAAUAUUUCUCCUGUCCUCAUUCCCAUGCCCUCUGAAACAAAACUUCUCAGGGUUCACUGUCGUCAUGAAGACAUACUUUAGCAUCACUAAAUGUAUCUGCCUUUGUGAUUUGCAAGAGGGAGCAAAGAGCAUGCUAACGGACUUGGGAGGAUGCUGCAUUAACUGCAAACUUCGUACUACAAACAUAGAAAUAAGGAAAGCAGGCAUCGAGGUGCUAGACGUGUGGUCAGGAAGUGAAAAAAGUGAGCUGCCGUUGGAAAAGAAAUGAUUAAUAAAGAGUAUUGUUAGGAUGGAGUCAAAGUGGAAGGUAGACGGUGACGUUCUUGGAUUUCUUUGAACGAGUUCACGUUGUCCUAAGAAGGUGGGGUACAUCGCUGGACACGAUACACCUUCAGAAACGGUCGAUCGACACCGUGUGGACUCACCCCAAGCUUCUGCAGCAGUCGCUCACCUACGGAACGGGGACUUCAUACCAAUGGGGGCUCGUCAUCCGGUGGCUGUGAGGGUUGAAUGAGAUGAUAUGAGUGAAGACUUGGAAUACAGCUCGGCAUCGUGUUUUAUAAAUGCGAGGCAGCUGUUCUGGAAAACAAACGAAGAGCCAGCCUCCGGGACUCUCGCGUGACUGAUCCCCUGUGAGGCCUGGGGUUGCUGGGGGCUGUGGAGUGUUCGAGGUGCGUACCGAAACCAGGCCACUUUCAGGAAGCGUUUCUAUUUCAGUUUUCCUGGCAAAUUACCUUGAGAGAUCUGAGAAGAAAGGGAUGCGAGUUUCCAAGACACUUAUGAUGUGUUUUUAUUUCCUAGUUUUAAAUAAAUAUGCACUUCCAUACCUGGUGUUGUGUACAUGAUUUUGUGUUUUUCUGAAAGAGGGUCUCCAAAAUUGUCUACAGUCCUGCAGCACUUAGCUCUGUCCCCGAUGCCUCACUGUUAUUAUGAUGGUCAGGAGGUUUAGGGAGAGGCAAAGGAUGUCCUAGUUUUUGAAAACAUGGAUUACAGAAAUUAAUAGGCAGUCGAAAGGAUGUCAGCGCUUCAUAAAGCUCUUGCCUCCCUCCCUGCCUGUCGGCUUUCCUCCCUUCCUUCUUCCCUCUCUGCAUUCUUCCCUCCCUUUCUUUCCCAAGCAUGCUGCUCCAGACACUGUUCUAAGCGCUGACACUAUCAGAUCCCGCUCUCACGGAGCUUAUAUUGUAGUUGAGGCAGCACAGAAGGAAGCAAAGCACAAAUAAUAUAUUUCGCACACCCAUGAGUGCUGGGAAGCAAAAUAGAGCAGGCUGAUGGGAGAGGGCAAGUGGGGGGAGGGAUGCUUUAGGUCAGGCGACCUGCAAAGCCCUUGUAGAGUGGUGACGUUUCAGCUGAGACCUGAAUGGUGAGCAGGCACCAUCCUGGAGCGUGGAGGGGUGUUCCAGGCAGAGCCAAGAGCAAAUGUAAGAUCCCAAGGUGAGAGGAGGCUUGGCAUGUGUGUGUGUGGAGGGGUGGCAGCUGGAGCAGCAGGGAGAAGCAGGAGAAAGAGGAGGACGAGGAUGAGGAGGAAGGUGGUGCUUUAGGUAGCGGCCAUGUAACAGGGGUUUUGUUUGUCCCAGUCAGAAGUUUGGAUUUUACUGCAAAUAUUAUGGGACAUCAUUGCGG
RNAcentral lists this long non-coding RNA (3286 nucleotides) under Equus caballus (horse). RNAcentral's name for it is "lncRNA (ENSECAG00000047080.1)". Lineage: Eukaryota; Metazoa; Chordata; Mammalia; Perissodactyla; Equidae. The record is from RNAcentral.